RNAcentral lists this ribosomal RNA (432 nucleotides) under uncultured bacterium. Its description in RNAcentral is "partial 16S ribosomal RNA". It matches the Rfam family "Bacterial small subunit ribosomal RNA", at positions 29 to 507 of the family's 1533-position model. The record is from RNAcentral.
AAUGAACGCUGGCGGCAUGCCUAACACAUGCAAGUCGAACGAGAGCUCCGGGUCUAGUGGCGCACGGGUGCGUAACGCGUGGGAACCUGCCCUUAGGUUCGGAAUAACUCCCCGACAGGGGUGCUAAUACCGGAUAAUGUCUUCGGACCAAAGAUUUAUCGCACUGGGAUGGGCCUGCGUUGGAUUAGCUAGUUGGUAGGGUAAAAGCCUACCAAGGCCAAGAUCCAUAGCUGGGCUGAGAGGAUGUUAGCCAAACUGGGACUGAGACACGGCCCAGACUCCUACGGGAGGCAGCAGUGGGGAAUAUUGGACAAUGGGCGGAAGCCUGAUCCAGCAAUGCCGCGUGAGUGAUGAAGGCCUUAGGGUUGUAAAGCUCUUUUACCCGGGAUGAUAAUGACAGUACCGGGAGAAUAAGCUCCGGCUAACUCCGUG